RNAcentral lists this ribosomal RNA (318 nucleotides) under Shigella sonnei. RNAcentral's name for it is "bacterial SSU rRNA". It matches the Rfam family "Bacterial small subunit ribosomal RNA", at positions 1 to 315 of the family's 1533-position model. The record is from RNAcentral. Lineage: Bacteria; Pseudomonadati; Pseudomonadota; Gammaproteobacteria; Enterobacterales; Enterobacteriaceae.
AAAUUGAAGAGUUUGAUCAUGGCUCAGAUUGAACGCUGGCGGCAGGCCUAACACAUGCAAGUCGAACGGUAACAGGAAGCAGCUUGCUGCUUCGCUGACGAGUGGCGGACGGGUGAGUAAUGUCUGGGAAACUGCCUGAUGGAGGGGGAUAACUACUGGAAACGGUAGCUAAUACCGCAUAACGUCGCAAGACCAAAGAGGGGGACCUUCGGGCCUCUUGCCAUCGGAUGUGCCCAGAUGGGAUUAGCUUGUUGGUGGGGUAACGGCUCACCAAGGCGACGAUCCCUAGCUGGUCUGAGAGGAUGACCAGCCACACUG